This 492-nucleotide ribosomal RNA is filed under the name uncultured bacterium. RNAcentral describes it as "partial 16S ribosomal RNA". It matches the Rfam family "Bacterial small subunit ribosomal RNA", at positions 29 to 507 of the family's 1533-position model. The record is from RNAcentral.
AGUGAACGCUGGCGGUAGGCCUGACACAUGCAAGUCGAACGGCAGCACAGUAAGAGCUUGCUCUUACGGGUGGCGAGUGGCGGACGGGUGAGGAAUACAUCGGAAUCUACUUUUUCGUGGGGGAUAACGUAGGGAAACUUACGCUAAUACCGCAUACGACCUACGGGUGAAAGCAGGGGAUCUUCGGACCUUGCGCGAUUGAAUGAGCCGAUGUCGGAUUAGCUAGUUGGCGGGGUAAAGGCCCACCAAGGCGACGAUCCGUAGCUGGUCUGAGAGGAUGAUCAGCCACACUGGAACUGAGACACGGUCCAGACUCCUACGGGAGGCAGCAGUGGGGAAUAUUGGACAAUGGGCGCAAGCCUGAUCCAACCAUACCGCGUGGGUGAAGAAGGCCUUCGGGUUGUAAAGCCCUUUUGUUGGGAAAGAAAAGCAGCAGGUUAAUACCCCGCUGUUCUGACGGUACCCAAAGAAUAAGCACCGGCUAACUUCGUG